CGUCUGACUGGAAUAAUAAUGAAAGAGAGUCUGACUCGUUCAGGUGCGCACAAUGGCGGGAAUGUUUUCUCUUGACGGCGCCGCUCGGAAGACAAGAUUAGAAGGACGACCUUUGACGAGCGGCGAAGGAGCUGAGAGCUUCGCGGGCGUUCAUGUCUGCUUCAGAAAAUGCAAUGCUGUCCACACAAAUGACUGCAGGUGGGCUCCAUUUCCUGGUAAAUAAUGUACAACGACGUCAUCGUCCAUAAAGCAUCAACAACGAUGACAACAAGGACGACCAAGGAGAUUUCCUCUUCAUUCCCUGGAUUCCAGCUGUGUGUCUCGUCUUCCCGGAUUCCCUCUGGUGUUCUUGCUGUCUCCCCGGAUCUCGACCUCACGCUUGGACACGGACUCUGACGCCUCGCUCCUGCCCCUGACCACGGACCUCCGAGACUGCCUUGCCACUUCUGGACUUCCGCACCUCUCACAACACGCACCUUCAACAUUGUACGGUAAAACACUCCAGCUAGACGCACCACAUAGUCAAACCAUACAUGUUUGGGUGUAUCACACAAAUAAUUUUAUUAUAUUAAUAAAUACGCCUCAGGCUAAAGGACGUCCCUGCCUCAGUGCCGUCUUCUUCUCCACCGCACGCAACACUUA
Long non-coding RNA from Nerophis lumbriciformis (worm pipefish), 642 nucleotides. RefSeq lists it as uncharacterized. The record is from RefSeq and is a predicted model, not a curated record. NCBI's taxonomy places the organism in Eukaryota, Metazoa, Chordata, Actinopteri, Syngnathiformes, Syngnathidae.